GAAGUCCUACGGGGCGCAGCAGUGGGGAAUAUUGGGCAAUGGGCGAAAGCCUGACCCAGCAAUGCCGUGUGAAGGAAGAAGGCCCUCGGGUUGUAAACUUCUUUUAUCAGGGACGAAGGAUGUGACGGUACCUGAUGAAUAAGCUCCGGCUAACUACGUGCCAGCCGCCGCGGUAAUACGUAGGGAGCAAGCGUUAUCCGGCUUUACUGGGAGAAAAGGGCGCGUAGGCGGGAUGGCAAGUCAGAUGUGCAAUCCAGGGGCUCAA
Molecule: ribosomal RNA, 265 nt
Filed under: uncultured bacterium
Lineage: Bacteria
Description: partial 16S ribosomal RNA
Rfam family: Bacterial small subunit ribosomal RNA
Source: RNAcentral